UACGUAGGGUGCAAGCGUUAAUCGGAAUUACUGGGCGUAAAGCGUACGCAGGCGGCUAUGUAAGACAGGUGUGAAAUCCCCGGGCCUAACCUGGGAACUGCAUUUGUGACUGCAUAGCUAGAGUCCGUCAGAGGGGGGUGGAAUUCCACGUGUAGCAGUGAAAUGCGUAGGGAUGUGGAGGAACACCGAUGGCGAAGGCAGCCCCCUGGGAUGAGACUGACGCUCAUGUACGAAAGCGUGGGGAGCAAACAGG
This 253-nucleotide ribosomal RNA is filed under the name uncultured bacterium. RNAcentral describes it as "partial 16S ribosomal RNA". It matches the Rfam family "Bacterial small subunit ribosomal RNA", at positions 524 to 776 of the family's 1533-position model. The record is from RNAcentral.